GCUGUCUUGUCUAUAUUUUCGAAUGUCUUAUUGAAUGGCACACACACGGGUUUAAAUGCAUGUUUUCUGUUUGUCUCUACAGUGCAGAAGAGAGAUCCCAGCUCGCUGUAAACCCUGCUUACCCUAGGACCCCGUGCUCUCUCGGCAUGUCUCGAGGGCAGGUGGAGAAGACUGUGUCUGCUCUACUCCUCCACCUGCCCUCGUGUUACAGGAAGAAGGGGGAGGGCCAUGUGUUGGCCAUAGCUUUUCAACCACGUGCCUAUGUGCAGUGCAAGCAGUAGCUAAAGAACACUCAUAAGUUACCAGUGCUCUACACUCUUAUUUUCUCCUGGAGAUUCCUCUUACUGUGCCCUGCUUUUGGAAGAAGCUCUUUUGUUUUUCAUUUAGCCAGAAGGACUUGCUGUCUUUAGCAAUCUCUCGCUACAGUAGAGCCCCAUUUGGGAUGAACGUGAAGCAGAGUGCUAGGAGCUCUUGAGAACGGACUCACCCAGACACCCACGUUGUACCAAUGGCGAGCGGUCUGAACAGCCAUCUGUCCCACCUGGCAUGUUGACCAGUUCCUGAGUAGAAAGUAUGGAAGAACCUGGCCGGUGCUUCCAGGAGCAAGAAUAUUUUCACAUCAGGGUAGCAGAAUCGGAGACAGAGACUCCUUCCCCUUUCCACGGGAGGAUGGAAAGGCAUCAGGAGAACGGGGCUGGGCGUGACCCACCGCAGCAUCGCUGUGGGCUUUGUCUCCACGGAGCCAAUUCAGAGGCGCAUGGUGGAGCAUCAGAAGCCAACACAGCACAGCAUCUCUGCUGGGCUUUGUGCCUCCCUCCGCUGAUUGUCACCACAAAGCCGGAGGCACCACACAGGGAAUGGCUGACUCUUCAAGGCAAGAAGAGUUUUGUGUCUCUCUACGGUGAGAGGAUGAAAACCUCGAGACCAGGGAACUAGGUAGACCAAGAAUCACAGUGCUGUUCAUUUCAGAAAUGGGAGCAGAAGACAAGAUUUUGGACUCACAGAUGACAACCCUGUGCCCUACUUAAAACAAAACAAAACAAAACAAAAAACAAAAACGUGAUUCAUCCAGACCCCAAAGCUGAGCAGCUGAGAGUCAACCUUAAAUACAGUAAAAGCACACCAAGGACUCUCCCAAGAAGGAUGGGACAUACAUGCCAGAUGAGCUACAAUAAAGGCUCAUCUUUCAGAGAGCUGCUGGAAUGU
Molecule: long non-coding RNA, 1206 nt
Filed under: Felis catus (domestic cat)
Lineage: Eukaryota; Metazoa; Chordata; Mammalia; Carnivora; Felidae
Description: lncRNA (ENSFCAG00000041164.2)
Source: RNAcentral